GAGAGUGUGAAGAGGAUUUUCCCUGACCAGUUUCAUUCAGGUGUCCUACAUUAGUCAGGACUGUGAAGAAAUUCCAGAAUUCCUAGGAAGAAAAUAUGGACACAUGGCAAAAAGGCUAGAUCUUAGCUUCAACUUGUUAAGUUCUUCUCAAAUCACUCCUGUGCUGCGUGACUGCUACCUUGGAUGACCCAGUGAUGGACAGUUGUGUUGGCUUCCACUUUAUUUCUACAAAUUCUUCUGUUCUGUGUGACUGCAAAAAUCUUUCCUCUGCUUCCAGAGAAGUCCAAGAAAACUACUGGCACUGACAAAAGAUGAAAAUAUGAUUUAUGCUGACAUCAUGUAUUACCCAAGCAAAUCCGUUUUGUGAAAGAUGGUUUUUUAUGGUGUGGAAAUAAAGAAUCAGUGAAUAGUUAUUGAAGGACCUGG
RNAcentral lists this long non-coding RNA (426 nucleotides) under Lonchura striata (white-rumped munia). RNAcentral describes it as "domestica (Bengalese finch) lncRNA (ENSLSDG00000005132.1)". The record is from RNAcentral. Lineage: Eukaryota; Metazoa; Chordata; Aves; Passeriformes; Estrildidae.